Long non-coding RNA from Cydia fagiglandana, 360 nucleotides. RefSeq lists it as uncharacterized. The transcript has 2 exons. NCBI's taxonomy places the organism in Eukaryota, Metazoa, Arthropoda, Insecta, Lepidoptera, Tortricidae. The record is from RefSeq and is a predicted model, not a curated record.
UUGAGCUCCCCGGAAACUUAAGUGAUCUCUCUCAAGUUUGUUUAACAAUCCAUUGAUAUAAAAUGCUGCACAUAAAUAAUACUCGUAACUAACCUGGCUCUAAUUAAUGGAGGAGUAAGUUUCCAAAAGAAAUGUUACGUCGGUAUACGAAGGCUUAGACAUAGAUCAAAAAAUCUACAGACAUGUUUAUUUUUCCCAAAAUAAAAACUUUAUGUACACUUAUGUAGGUAUUUCGUUGUAUUGUAUACUUUAAUUUUAACACAUUCAUGUGCCGAAAACCCGACUAUCGGGUAAUUUAUGAUUUCGUUCCCAGGCCGGACGUCUCGAUAGUCGAGACCGUGACACUACUGCUUUACAUGA